RNAcentral lists this ribosomal RNA (454 nucleotides) under uncultured bacterium. RNAcentral's name for it is "bacterial SSU rRNA". It matches the Rfam family "Bacterial small subunit ribosomal RNA", at positions 29 to 507 of the family's 1533-position model. The record is from RNAcentral. RNAcentral also lists the same sequence under 1 other name.
AACGAACGCUGGCGGCAUGGAUUAGGCAUGCAAGUCGAACGGUCGUAGCAAUACGAUAGUGGCGAAAGGGUGAGGAACGCGUGAGUAACCUGCCCCCAAGUUGGGAAUAACAGUUGGAAACGACUGCUAAUACCUGAUGUGAUCAUCCGAGGGCAUCUUUGGAUGAUUAAAGAUUUAUUGCUUGGGGAUGGGCUCGCGUCCCAUUAGGUAGUUGGUGAGGUAACGGCCCACCAAGCCUGCGAUGGGUAGCUGGUCUGAGAGGAUGGUCAGCCACACUGGGACUGAGACACUGCCCAGACUCCUACGGGAGGCUGCAGUCGAGAAUCUUCCGCAAUGCGCGAAAGCGUGACGGAGCAAUGCCGCGUGCCGGAUGAAGGUCUUCGGAUCGUAAACGGCUGUCAGAUGUGACGAAUAAAUGACGGUAGCAUCAAAGGAAGCCACGGCUAACUACGUG